Molecule: unclassified non-coding RNA, 1459 nt
Filed under: uncultured fungus
Lineage: Eukaryota; Fungi
Description: sequence contains 18S rRNA gene, ITS1, 5.8S rRNA gene, ITS2, 28S rRNA gene
Rfam family: Eukaryotic large subunit ribosomal RNA (bases 492-1459)
Source: RNAcentral
GGAAGGAUCAUUAACACUAAUCCACUCACCUUAACCUAACCUCGAGUGUGCUUCGAUGUCGAGAGCUUGCUCUCUGACUGACUAGCGCAUUAACAAAACUAUCAUUCAAAGAAACUUAACUAAGCUCAACCACUAAAUCCAAAUUCUCAACGAUGGAUAUCUUGGUUCCCAUAACGAUGAAGAACGCAGCGAAGUGCGAUAAGCAGUGCGAAUUGCAGAACCGUGAGUCAUCAGAUUUUUGAACGCAAUUGGCGCCGAUUGGCUCUCCAGUCGGCAUGCUUGUUUCAGUGUCUUGUUUUCUCCUCACCCAAAUCUUAAUGCGAGAGAUACCCUUCUCUUGUUAAGUAAGAAAGCACUCUGAGCCCUGCUGGUGUCAGACUUCGGUCUUGGACACACUCAAUGCAGUAGUCACAUUGUUCACAGUGUGAACUCAUUGAGAGUAGAGUCAGCGCAGCUUGUCUGCAAGUGCUUGGAUCACUUAAACUCUUCUUGUAUCUGAAAUCAAGCAGGAUCACCCGCUGAACUUAAGCAUAUCACUAAGCGGAGGAAAAGAAAUUAACUAAGAUUGCCUCAGUAACGGCGAGUGAAGUGGCAAAAGCCCAAACUGGAAAUCUCCAUGCUUCGCAUGGCGAAUUGUAAUCUAAAGGUGGGAAGCUUACCUAGUCGUGACGCAUAAGUGCUCAAGAAAGGGCCGCCAGAGAGGGUGAAAGCCCCGUAUUUGGUGUCAUGACUUACCGAGCUCCUUUCAAAGAGUCGGGUUGUUUUGAACUACAGCCCUAAGCUGGGAGAUAGACUUCUUCUAAGGCUAAAUAUAUAUGGGAAACCGAUAGCGAACAAGUACUGUGAAGGAAAGAUGAAAAGAACUUUGAAAAGAGAGUGACAAGACUUGAAAUCGUUGAGAAGGAAGCGGUAGAAAUUUAUUCUUCUGGUGAGAACGAAGGUGUUCGCCUAACCAUUGGGGCUCGUGAGCACUUCAUAGGCUCUGGACCUCACUUGGGGAAGUGAUAGCUGGGUUCUCACCGUGAGGCAAAAUGAGGUCUCGUUCUCUCAAAAGCUGCUUUGACCUGGUCGGCUUCGGCUGGCAGUCCUGGUGUGCUCGAGAGAGUGGGGCCUGAGGAGCUUCGUGCGAUUUUGCCAAAAUGGUUUUUACCGACCCGUCUUGAAACACGGACCAAGGAGUCUAACAUAUAUGCAAGUGUGCUGGUUGAGAAACCACCACGCGUAAUGAAAGUGAUUGAUGCCAAGCCCCCCGCAGCAUCGACCGACCAUGAUCCUCUGGAGAAAGGUUUGAGUAUGAGCAUAUCUGUUAGGACCCGAAAGAUGGUGAACUAUGCCUGGGUAGGGUGAAGCCAGGGGAAACUCUGGUGGAGGCUCGUAGCGGUUCUGACGUGCAAAUCGAUCGUCAAACCUGGGUAUAGGGGCGAAAGACUAAUCGAACCAUCUAGUAGCUGGUUCCCUC